Molecule: long non-coding RNA, 2303 nt
Organism: Ctenopharyngodon idella (grass carp)
Lineage: Eukaryota; Metazoa; Chordata; Actinopteri; Cypriniformes; Xenocyprididae
Exons: 2
Source: RefSeq, a predicted model, not a curated record
AUUUGACUUUAUUUAUAUUCUUUUGCAAUGCAAAAAAGCAUAAAGCCUGCUGCAUUUGGACGCUGGUGGUGCAGUGUUUUGUCUUUAUGAAGCUGUGAUGUGUAGGGCGAAAUUGAAAUUUAAUUUUUAGAUUUAGCUUUUUGUAUAUUUCCUCAUCAAGCUUAACCUUUAUUUACUACUAAUUUUUUCUUGCUUGUUCAUAUUAUUAUCUUAAUUAAUACAUUUCUUGUCAGGGUUAACGAGCUCUUGAAUUUAAUUUUAAGCACACUUGGCUCAAAUUACGCUGUCUUAAAGUUAUAAACUGUAAAUUGCUCUCUGAAUGUAUGUCUCAAGCAUAAAAAAAAGAAUAUUGAUAUUGGGUGUUUCCUUGCAUUAUCUAGCACAAAUUGUGCUAUUUUCCCCCUCACAAAACGCUUAAAACACGCCGUGUUUUAUGUGCAUUAGAUCCAGGCUGUGAAUGCAAACAUAGGAAUGAAGUUUAAACAAACACAUAACUGAAAUCAGAAAUUACGCCCUUUUUUCUUAUGCUUGAAUUGUACAAGAACAAGAUCAUUGUGCAUGACCUCAUGGCGCGUGUUUAGGCCCUUCCGUGGCCCACGUGAUUUCCCCUAUAGGCCCUGCGUGUGUGUUCCACGGGAGGGCGGCAUAGAAAUGGCUAGAGAACAGCCCACAAACUUGAAAUUUAAGGGCUUGUGUAAAAUAACAUGUACAGACUUUUAGUUUACAUCAAAUGUACGCUUGCUACGACGUCUUCCCGUCAGACAAGUAGUCACACACAACGCUUAAAUCGAAAAAUAAUUAUUGCUGUUAUUUCGUAAACCACAAUCAUACUGGUCUCUGGCGCCUCAGAGGGUCGCAUGUAACUCGGGGAGCGUGUUGCAUAAAGUGCGCAGUCAAGAUGGCCAGUCUUUGAUUUGGAAGAGUCGGCCAUGCUGCUGCUAGACUCAACCUAACAUGACUGAAAGCAGCAUGCACGAGCAGAAAGUGUGUGUGCUGCUCGUUCUAGAACGUUUCACGCAGUUCUAGAGUGCUUCUAGAAUCAGAGGCGUAAUCUGAAGCGAACUGGAGGGGCUCAAAUUACACAUGAGCGAUAUCUGGACGCAUUUAUGUCGGGAUAUAAUCCUCACACACAAGAUGCACAUCCACAGUAGCCUCGGCUUGAGGGAAGCCUACCUUUGCAGAAGAGGACUGUGGGAUAUCUCAGCUGAGCAGGGUGCUGCUGAGCGGCCGCAGCGUGAGCGUUCAUACAUGGCGUGGUGGUGGCACUGCUUUGGGGUUUGUCAUGCUCUUGGGUGGCAUGGCAGGCGGGGGAAACGGGCAGCUGAGAACACAGCAGGUGCCACGUCUUGCACUUCUGCCCUGACUGGCUCACUCUGACUGAACGCUGUGUGAGUGUGUGUGUUGGAGCAGUUGUUCGCCCCCAGCGCUGGUGAGAUGGUGUCAGGCUUGGUCAGUAGCACCUGUCCAAUACAACCUCUUCUUCUCCUAACCAUUCAUGGUUGUGUUACUACGAAGCUUCAUUUGUUGUCCUCUGAAGAUGCCAGUCUGUUGAACUCGAUGGCAUUUAUCUUGUCCUUCUGUGCAACUGUCACAAGAAAUAUGUGUAAUAUAGAGGGGGCUGUAAAUAUUUCAUUGCAGCCGCAUCAAGGGCACGCUGCCUCAUCUUACAGCAUUCAGAAGAGGGUGCGCCAUACCCUUAAAGGGAGCUUUUCCUUGCCCAGCGGUGUUUGCAAAUAUUAUCAGUGCUCCAACUGUUCUGGCAGAACCGAGUCUAUACCCAACAGUGAGAAUAAUCCUAUGGUUACUAUGGCAACCGAAUAGGAGUAUUUAUUUUUUUUCUUGAGAGGUCAAAGACGGAUGAAAAGGAUCUUGUAUUAUACAUUGCAUUUUGUACAAGUGCAUGUAUUUUUUUUUUUUUUUUUUUUUUUUUUUUUUUUGUCCCAAAGGAAAUUUUUUUUGCUCAGAGGUGGUUCAGUUAUGUUUUAUUUAAAUAUCGACUUUGUCUGAGAAGUUUCUGCUAAAACGCCUUAGGAGGAAUCAAAACAGACAAAUAAGAAUAUAAGAAUAUAGAAUUUCAAUGCCAAGUCAUGGGUUUGAUUCCCAGGGAAUGCAUGAAGUGAUAAAAUGUGUGCCAUGAAUGCAAUGUAAGUUGCUUUGGAUAAAAACACCAAAUGCAUAUAUGUACAAUGCAAAUAAAAGGUUAAAUGGGACUCAUUUUUGUCCACAUCUGUUAAUUUGUCUUCUGUAAUGUUUUUUUAAUUUCUGAAUUAAGUUCAUUUAGACUUUUUUUUUUUUUUUUUUUU